This is a long non-coding RNA of Zingiber officinale, 1945 nucleotides long. RefSeq lists it as uncharacterized. Lineage: Eukaryota; Viridiplantae; Streptophyta; Magnoliopsida; Zingiberales; Zingiberaceae. The record is from RefSeq and is a predicted model, not a curated record. The transcript is spliced from 2 exons.
AUCACCCUGGCCUCCCGAUCCGUCCGCGCCGCCACUCUGGUGUAGGCAUUCGCGAAGUCCGGCGCUGUGCCUCCGCUCACGCUUCCGUCCGGCACCACACCCGUCUCUGACGACGAUACCUUUUCCGAUCCAACCGCAAUUGAGAGCUGUAGGAGGGGUUCGAUUGGCCGCGGUCAAGCUCGACGGAGGCAUCGGGCUGGAGGAACGACGGAGGCGGCCGAGAUUCGAUGACUCCGGCGUGCUUGGAGAGGAAGGGAACGACGCUGUCCGUCUGGUGGAUUUGCGCUUCUAUCGAAGCGGCGUAUUCCAUGCCAAGGCACGAAUCCACGUCCGACAAGAGGUAAUCCGUAUAGUUAAGCUCCGGCACUGCUCCGAUCUGCUUGGGUCGACUCGAGAGGAGAAACGACUCGGCCUUGGCCGCCGCGUCCGUCGCCGCCUCUUCCUCGUUGAUCAGGAACGCGGCCACGGCGGAGUAGGGUUUGAGAGGCUCGAGGAAGGGGAGGAGCGGUGCGCGGUCGUGGCGGCGGGCUAGGGGGUUGGCGCAGUGGAUGUCGGCGUCGCAGGCGACGCAGAGCGCCGCCGCGUCCGCCUUGCAGGUGACCGCGGCGGGCGCCUGCUCGCACACCUCGCAGAUCCAAACGCGCUCGUGACGCCUGCCGCCGGCGAACGCCUCCGUCCCGCCGUGCACCCUCGCGUCGCACCCGCCGCAGAGGUACGCCGCGUGCGCGCCGCAGUACAGCGCCGCCGCCGCCGACUUGCACGCGUCGCACCUCCUUCGCUCCCAAAUUCUUCUUUUCGCCUCCGCUUCACUCGCCAUUUGCUCUUCCUUUCGAGUUUAACUUCAAAAAUCGUCUUAACGAGUUAAAUAGAAGAAGACGAUGAUGAUUGGAAGAAGACUAAUCACCCCGGCGACUGCGUCAGAGUGUUACUUCCCCACCCGUUGUCUGAUUGGAAAAAAGAUCGUGGGACCAUUCGGGUCCGCUGGUUUGACGAGUGAUAGAGCGGGUGGCGUGUAACUCGGAAAAACUCGGUGACGGUUAACUUUGACAUAGUUUAGCCAGACCGAUGGAUACGUGGUGGCUCCGAGACCUCGCGAAAAGAUACGGGAACUUUAAAACGGGUCGGCAUUGGUGGCACCGCAUCCACGUAGUGUCGCUGUGCCGACGUGGGCCCCGUGAGCCACAAGGUGUGCAAAAUCUUCAAUUAAUUAUUAUCUCAUCUCUUAUUUAAUAUUUAUAAUUCCCUAUUCAGUGCUACAAUUACUAACGCAAGCCCCGGAUUGGUAUAAUUUUUGUUCCAAUAAAUUUUAGAAUUAAUUUUCAACUAAUAUAAAAUAUUUAAUUAGAUAUUAGAUCUUUGUGUAGGUUAAAAUAGCCUCAUAAUUUAUCUAUAUCUUAUAGCGAUAUCAUUUUUCUUUAAUAAUUAGUAACAUGUGAAAUAAUUAAACUCCAAAUAGUUCCAAAAUCCAGGUCAGAUAUAUUUGACUACUAUCUGUCAUUAUUAUUUAGAUAUUAAACGUGUGGCCCCAGUUAAACUAGAGCCCAUUUUUAUUUUUCUGGGGUCGAUUAAUUAAUUCCGAAAGCAGAGUCUUCCUGACGAUGGCGAUGACGUCACCGCUCCUUCAAUUGCCAUUUGCGCCAGAGUUCAGGACAGGCGACGGCUUCAUCCUCCAACGACAGGCGCCUCCGUUGAGGCGCGGAGGCUGCAGAGCGGCCCGGCUAAUGUUUUCCUACUGAAUUGUUGCAGGGGAUCCGCGAAGCCGCGCGUGCCAAAAGGUUGUGGGGCCCGGUUAUUAAUUGGGCAAAUUACGCUAUGUCUUAACAGUGACUGCUAUCCGUUUGGCCAGCGUAUAUAUCGGACUCUUGAUUCAAUAUGUAUUUUUACCUUUUUUUGUUUUUAAAAAAAGACGGAAAUAUAAUUUCUUACUUCUUUUAUAUCCUUCUAA